GCGACCCCAGGUCAGGCGGGACUACCCGCUGAGUUUAAGCAUAUCAAUAAGCGGAGGAGAAGAAACUUACAAGGAUUCCCCUAGUAACGGCGAGCGAACCGGGAUCAGCCCAGCUUGAGAAUCGGGCGGCUUUGUCGUCCGAAUUGUAGUCUGUAGAAGCGUCCUCAGCGACGGACCGGUCCCAAGUCCCCUGGAAGGGGGCGCCAGAGAGGGUGAGAGCCCCGUCGUGUCCGGACCCUGUCGCACCACGAGGCGUUGUCGGCGAGUCGGGUUGUUUGGGAAUGCAGCCCUAAUUGGGCGGUAAAUUCCGUCCAAGGCUAAAUACUGGCGAGAGACCGAUAGCGAACAAGUACCGCGAGGGAAAGAUGAAAAGGACUUUGAAAAGAGAGUCAAAGAGUGCUUGAAAUUGUCGGGAGGGAAGCGGAUGGGGGCUGGCGAUGCGCCUAGGUCGGAUGCGGAACGGUGNNGAGCCGGUUCGCCGCUCGACUCUAGACGUGGACCGAUGCGGAUUAUGACGGUGGCCCAAGCCCGAGCCGUUUACGUGCUUGUGGAUACGUCAUCGUCAUGAUUGURGUGGGCAGCGUGCGCCUUCGGCGUGCUUAUUGCAACUGCGCGCUCUCGGCAUCGGCCUGUAGGCUCCCCAUUCGGCCCGUCUUGAAACACGGACCAAGGAGUCUGACAUGUGUGCGAGUCAACGGGUAAGUAAACCCGUAAGGCGCAAGGAAGCUGAUUGGUGGGAUCCCCUUGUGGGUUGCACCGCCGACCGACCUA
This 771-nucleotide ribosomal RNA is filed under the name Berberis dictyophylla. RNAcentral describes it as "eukaryotic LSU rRNA". It matches the Rfam family "Eukaryotic large subunit ribosomal RNA", at positions 1 to 772 of the family's 3401-position model. The record is from RNAcentral. Lineage: Eukaryota; Viridiplantae; Streptophyta; Magnoliopsida; Ranunculales; Berberidaceae.